Molecule: ribosomal RNA, 250 nt
Filed under: uncultured bacterium
Lineage: Bacteria
Description: partial 16S ribosomal RNA
Rfam family: Bacterial small subunit ribosomal RNA
Source: RNAcentral
ACGUAGGGAGCGAGCGUUAUCCGGAUUCAUUGGGCGUAAAGAGCGCGUAGGCGGCCUCUCAAGCGGGAUCUCUAAUCCGAGGGCUCAACCCCCGGCCGGAUCCCGAACUGGGAGGCUCGAGUUCGGUAGAGGCAGGCGGAAUUCCCGGUGUAGCGGUGGAAUGCGCAGAUAUCGGGAAGAACACCGAUGGCGAAGGCAGCCUGCUGGGCCGCAACUGACGCUGAGGCGCGAAAGCUAGGGGAGCGAACAG